UAUGCCUACGGGACGCAGCAGUGGGGAAUAUUGCACAAUGGGGGAAACCCUGAUGCAGCGACACCGCGUGAGUGAAGAAGUAUUUCGGUAUGUAAAUCUCUAUCAGCAGGGAAGAUAAUGACGGUACCUGAGUAAGAAGCCCCGGCUAACUACGUGCCAGCAGCCGCGGUAAUACGUAGGGGGCAGGCGUUAUCCGGAUUUACUGGGUGUAAAGGGAGCGUAGACGGCAUGGCAAGUCUGAAGUGAAAGCCCGGGGAUCAACCGCGGGACUGCUUUGGAAACUGUUAAGCUGGAGUGCAGGAGAG
This 305-nucleotide ribosomal RNA is filed under the name uncultured bacterium. Its description in RNAcentral is "bacterial SSU rRNA". It matches the Rfam family "Bacterial small subunit ribosomal RNA", at positions 334 to 656 of the family's 1533-position model. The record is from RNAcentral.